Molecule: unclassified non-coding RNA, 87 nt
Filed under: Pseudomonas synxantha
Lineage: Bacteria; Pseudomonadati; Pseudomonadota; Gammaproteobacteria; Pseudomonadales; Pseudomonadaceae
Source: RNAcentral
GUGGGAGGGGGCUUGCCCCCGAUAGCUGAGUGUCAGUCAGUAUAUUAUCAACUGACACGCCGCUAUCGGGGGCAAGCCCCCUCCCAC